RNAcentral lists this ribosomal RNA (253 nucleotides) under uncultured bacterium. Its description in RNAcentral is "partial 16S ribosomal RNA". It matches the Rfam family "Bacterial small subunit ribosomal RNA", at positions 524 to 776 of the family's 1533-position model. The record is from RNAcentral.
UACGUAGGGCGCAAGCGUUAUCCGGAAUUAUUGGGCGUAAAGAGCUCGUAGGCGGCCUGUCGCGUCUGCUGUGAAAUCCCGGGGCUUAACCCCGGGCGUGCAGUGGAUACGGGCAGGCUAGAGGCAGGCAGGGGAGAACGGAAUUCCUGGUGUAGCGGUGAAAUGCGCAGAUAUCAGGAGGAACACCGGUGGCGAAGGCGGUUCUCUGGGCCUGUACUGACGCUGAGGAGCGAAAGCGUGGGGAGCGAACAGG